CCCAGUGGACGGCCACUGAGGUUUAUCUCACUCCGGGACGGCCCG
RNAcentral lists this non-coding RNA (45 nucleotides) under Marinomonas spartinae. RNAcentral's name for it is "Guanidine-II sequence". It matches the Rfam family "Guanidine-II riboswitch aptamer (mini-ykkC)". From Rfam's summary of the family: Simpler in structure and has fewer highly conserved nucleotide positions than the ykkC-yxkD leader. The record is from Rfam by way of RNAcentral. Lineage: Bacteria; Pseudomonadati; Pseudomonadota; Gammaproteobacteria; Oceanospirillales; Oceanospirillaceae.